CCCUGACCUACAGCUAAGGUCCCCAAGUUAUGGCUAAGUGGGAAAGGAUGUGAGGAUCCCAAAACAACCAGGAUGUUGGCUUAGAAGCAGCCAUCAUUUAAAGAAAGCGUAACAGCUCACUGGUCUAAAUAAGGGUCUUUGCGCCGAAAAUGUAACGGGGCUAAAGCCAUACACCGAAGCUUAGGGUUCAUCCGUAAGGAUGAGCGGUAGCGGAGCGUUCUGUAAGCUGAUGAAGCCAUACCUGCGAGGGGUGGUGGAGGUAUCAGAAGUGCGAAUGCUGACAUGAGUAACGUAAGGGGAGUGAGAGACUCCCCCGCCGAAAGACCAAGGGUUCCUGCUUAAAGCUAAUCUGAGCAGGGUUAGCCGGACCCUAAGACGAGGCAGAAAUGCGUAGUCGAUGGGAAUCACGUUAAUAUUCGUGAGCCUGAAGGUAGUGACGGAUCAUCAAUGUUGUUCAACCUUAUUGGAUUGGUUGGGCUGCUGCGUGGUUCCAGGAAAUAGCUCCUUCUUAUAGUCCGUACCCGAAACCGACACUGGUGGUCUGGUAGAGUAUACCAAGGCGCUUGAGAGAACUAUGCUGAAGGAACUCGGCAAAUUGCACGCGUAACUUCGGAAGAAGCGUGACCCAUAUGCACGCAAGUGUAUGUGGGUGGCACAGACCAGGGGGUAGCGACUGUUUAUCAAAAACACAGGGCUCUGCGAAGUCGCAAGACGACGUAUAGGGUCUGACGCCUGCCCGGUGCUGGAAGGUUAAAGGGAGAGGUGCAAGCUUUGAACUGAAGCCCCAGUAAACGGCGGCCGUAACAAUAACGGUCCUAAGGUAGCGAAAUUCCUUGUCGGGUAAGUUCCGACCUGCACGAAUGGCGUAACGACUUCCCCGCUGUCUCCAGCAUAGACUCAGUGAAAUUGAAUUCCCCGUGAAGAUGCGGGGUUCCUGCGGUUAGACGGAAAGACCCCGUGCACCUUUACUAUAGCUUUACAUUGGCAUUCGUAGUGGCAUGUGUAGGAUAGGUGGUAGGCUCUGAAGCAGGGACGCCAGUUUCUGUGGAGCCACCCUUGAAAUACCACCCUUAUCUCUAUGGAUGUCUAACCGCGGCCCCUUACCGGGGUCCGGGACAAUGUAUGGUGGGUAGUUUGACUGGGGCGGUCGCCUCCUAAAGAGUAACGGAGGCGCGCGAUGGUGGGCUCAGAACGGUCGGAAAUCGUUCGCUGAGUGCAAUGGCAUAAGCCUGCCUGACUGCGAGACUGACAAGUCGAGCAGAGACGAAAGUCGGUCAUAGUGAUCCGGUGGUCCCGCGUGGAAGGGCCAUCGCUCAACG
This 1319-nucleotide ribosomal RNA is filed under the name metagenome. Its description in RNAcentral is "bacterial LSU rRNA". It matches the Rfam family "Bacterial large subunit ribosomal RNA", at positions 1026 to 2454 of the family's 2925-position model. The record is from RNAcentral.